RNAcentral lists this transfer RNA (73 nucleotides) under Humisphaera borealis. RNAcentral's name for it is "tRNA-Arg". It matches the Rfam family "tRNA". Rfam says of the family: Transfer RNA (tRNA) molecules are approximately 80 nucleotides in length. Their secondary structure includes four short double-helical elements and three loops (D, anti-codon, and T loops). The record is from RNAcentral. Lineage: Bacteria; Pseudomonadati; Planctomycetota; Phycisphaerae; Tepidisphaerales; Tepidisphaeraceae.
GUUGCGGAAGCUCAACCGGAUGAGCACCGGCUUGCGAAGCCGGAGGGUGAAGGUUCGAUCCCUUCCCGCAACG